Molecule: RNA transcript, 3040 nt
Organism: Sorghum bicolor (sorghum)
Lineage: Eukaryota; Viridiplantae; Streptophyta; Magnoliopsida; Poales; Poaceae
Gene name: sterol 3-beta-glucosyltransferase UGT80A2
Exons: 14
Source: RefSeq, a predicted model, not a curated record
CAAUGGCCUUCGUCUCCGUCCUUCCGUGAGAAGCCUCCGUCCGCGUUCACCGUUUCUCUCUCCUCUGGCUCCGACCCUCCGACGACUCUCGUGGUGGCGUCGCCUGCUUGUGCUUGGAGGUUCCGGUCCUCUGGAGGAGGCCUUGCCCCUCGGCCUCGGGAGAGAGGGAGGGAGGGAAGGAAGGAAUCUUCUAGAAGCCUUUCCCGCGGCCGAUGAAGGAAGCCAGCAGCAGCCGUGUCGGCGCCGCCGGUGCCGGCGCUGAGGACGUCGGUUCCUCGUCCGUGUCCAACAAUUGUUUCCCACAAGAUGAGGGUACAAGCUCCAGCGAAAUGGACAAUACUGAAUUCUCUGAGACGUCCUCAGAGGUGUCAGGUUCUGAGAGAACAAGACCUGUAGAUAGCAAAAAUGCAUCUUCCGUACUUGAUACGAUAUCUAUUAAAAAGAAGCUAAAAUUGUUUAGUCGAAUGGCUACACUGAAAGAUGAUGGAACUGUAGUUGUUGAUAUCCCCACUAAUAUUGAAGCUGCGUCACUUGAUCUUCCUUCUGAGGAUCACCACAAUGUGGCCUUUGGUGGCGGAACAUUGGACUCUUCAGAUCUUCAGUACAGGCCACCAAUGCAAAUUGCUAUGCUGAUUGUUGGUACAAGAGGGGAUGUUCAGCCAUUCAUAGCUAUAGGAAAACGUUUGCAGGACUACGGUCAUCGUGUUAGAUUAGCAACCCAUGCCAACUUCAAGGACUUCGUGAUGACUACUGGGUUGGAGUUUUAUCCCCUUGGUGGAGAUCCAAAAAUUCUUGCUGGAUACAUGGUUAAGAACAAAGGAUUCUUGCCUGCAACUCCAUCAGAAAUUCCUAUCCAGCGCAAGCAGAUUAGGGACAUCAUAUUCUCCUUGCUUCCUGCUUGCAAGGAUCCGGACAUUGAUACUGGUGUUUCUUUUAGUGCGGACGCCAUAAUAGCUAAUCCAGCAGCAUAUGGACAUGUACAUGUGGCAGAGGCUCUCAAUAUACCGAUUCACAUAAUUUUCACAAUGCCGUGGACGCCUACCUGUGAAUUUCCACAUCCUUUCUCUCAUGUGAAGCAACCUGCUGGAUAUAGACUUUCAUACCAGAUUGUUGACUCUUUUGUCUGGCUUGGCAUAAGGGAUAUGAUAAAUGAUCUCCGAAAAAGGAAAUUGAAAUUGAGACCAGUUACAUACCUAAGUGGUACACAUGCUUAUUCGAAUGAUAUUCCUCAUGCAUAUAUCUGGAGUCCUUACCUUGUCCCAAAACCAAAAGACUGGGGACCUAAAAUUGAUGUUGUUGGAUUUUGUUUCCUUGAUCUUGCUUCAAAUUAUGAGCCUCCCGAGCCCCUUUUGAGGUGGUUAGGGAGUGGUGAGAGUCCUAUUUAUAUUGGUUUUGGUAGCCUUCCAAUCCCAGAACCAGAUAAGUUGACAAGAAUCAUUGUCCAAGCGCUUGAAAUUACUGGACAAAGAGGUAUCAUUAACAAGGGUUGGGGCGGGCUUGGAAAUUUGGAAGAAUCAAAGGAAUUUGUGUAUGUACUUGAUAAUGUUCCACAUGAUUGGCUCUUUUUGCAAUGCAAAGCUGUGGUAAGACCUGUCUUUCUUUCUCAGAUGCUUAUACGCCAAAAAUCAAGUAUGAUGGUUUAACAUGGAGGAAAGCUUAUGCAGAUGAAGCUGGGGAAGAAUUAGAGAUGAGCUUUGCUGAUUGCAAAUCAUGUGUAUAGUUGCAUUCCUCAUUGCAUGUUAGGCUGUGUUGUCCUGGAAUUCAUACUUGGGAUUCUAAUAAAAAUAUAGAAGCAGUUGGAUUUGUAACUAAUGGGGUUGAAUAAAUAAAUACACAAAGAUUAGGAAUACUUAAAGAAUCAGUGGGAUUCUCUGAUCAUGUUAUUGAACAAAGGUAGUGAAAUGCAAGUGGUUCCUUGUAUUUUUGCAGACUUGAGAGACUGAAUGAAGUCAUGCCCUGUGAAGCUGUGACAAUGGAAGUGCUUGACAUUUCCUUUGUCUUAGUUUUACCUCUGACAAUAGCUCUGGCUAUGCUAUGUGCUGUGUCUGAAAACUUGCAAUAGUGCACUGAUUUUAAUUGUUGAGUGUGGUUUCUUCUAUAUUUGUUCUGAGUGUGAUAUUGCUGUGCUAUGUAAAAACAGUUCAGACCCAGGAAUGGCAGUUGAUCGACGUACACCAUGGUGGUGCUGGCACUACUGCUGCUGGUCUUAAGGCUGGGUGCCCCACUACCAUCAUACCAUUCUUUGGUGAUCAAUUCUUUUGGGGCAGCAUGGUGCAUGCCAGAGGAUUGGGGGCGCCACCUAUACCUGUGGAGCAAUUACAAUUGCAAUCACUGAUUGAUGCAAUCAAAUUUAUGAUUGAUCCAAAGGUAAAGGAACGAGCUGUUCAGCUAGCAAAGGCAAUCGAAUCAGAAGAUGGUGUUGAUGGGGCUGUAAAAUCCUUUUUAAAACAUCUUCCACAGAAAAGGGAUUCCGAGGCAACGCCAACUGCACCACAGUCAACAUUCAUGCAACCGCUGCUUCUCCCUGUAAAGAGGUGUUUUGGCAUGGCAUCCUAAUUCCUAACCCCGCAUUUCCAAGCACCUGCUUUGGCUUUGUGGCAAGUGGCAUCACCGGUCCGGAACAAGUUGCGCCACAUGCUUAGGAGAAGGGGAAGUACCAACAUGCGUAGCCAGUCGUUUCAUCCUACCUAUAAAGAUUAAAGAAUGUAGAGGCCUGUUUGGUUCCCCUUACUAAAUUUUAAUCAGCUGUGACUAGUGGAACUAAACUAUUUUAGCUCCUUUUAGUCAGUGUGUUUGGAAGUUUAGCUACUAAAGUGACUAAAAUUUAGCUGGCUAAAAUUUAGAAAGGGAAUCAAACAUGCCCUAUGUAGAGCUACUAAGUUUUUGAAUUUUUAUAUAUAUGUAUAUAGCUUGUGGUAAGUGUGCAUACAAUACGGUAACUUGAGACUUCGGCUCCUUACAACUGUAUAUAUAUUACAAAACUAAGCGGGAUAUACGGAAUUUCAUCCAAACUUUUGUCCACCCAAUUAUUUGAUCUGAA